This 253-nucleotide ribosomal RNA is filed under the name uncultured bacterium. RNAcentral's name for it is "partial 16S ribosomal RNA". It matches the Rfam family "Bacterial small subunit ribosomal RNA", at positions 524 to 776 of the family's 1533-position model. The record is from RNAcentral.
UACGGAGGGUGCAAGCGUUAUCCGGAUUCACUGGGUUUAAAGGGUGCGUAGGUGGGCAAGUAAGUCAGUGGUGAAAUCUCCGGGCUUAACCCGGAAACUGCCAUUGAUACUAUUUGUCUUGAAUACUGCGGAGGUCAGCGGAAUAUGUCAUGUAGCGGUGAAAUGCUUAGAUAUGACAUAGAACACCAAUUGCGAAGGCAGCUGGCUACACAAAUAUUGACACUGAGGCACGAAAGCGUGGGGAUCAAACAGG